CCCGGACUCCGCAGCGGAUUUAAAGUGAAGUGGCUGGACUUUAUUGUUGUUGUGGAAAACAAAACAGUACGUGCGUAUUCCAAAGUCAGCUGGAGUUGGCUGAAAGACACUGAAGUAGAAGAAAAAACAUGAGUCCUAAAAAUAAAAAGCCGUUUGGCAAGAGGGUGUAAGAAGGCGUAAACAAAAUUAUUUUAAUUAAAGUAUCAAUUUUGUGCAAAAUGAACUUGUGUUUUUUUAAAAAGUAAAGUAAUAUUUCCUACCUGAAAAUAUCCCUAUUCUUGCCCAGACUUCUGUGCGCCUUCUCCACUCUAUUGGCAGCGGCAGCCUGGUGUCUUUUCAGGGCGAAGAGAAAGGUAGGCCUCGGCCCAGACCUCUAACAUUAUGUAAAUGAGGCAAACCUCUCAACCUUGUGGAUUACUGAGUCAGAGAGCAGGACCCUGGUCCACAGACCCUCCACAUUAGGAUCCCAUAAAAAUCUGGAGCUGGUUGGCUGCAUGCGACGCUUAUGAGAGCUCAUAUUGUCCACAUUAAUAUAGUUGUCAAUCUAAGUUAACUUUUACAUCCAUUGAAUAUGAUGUGGCCAUGGCAGCAGGAGCGGGAUAAACGGACGCGCCAAGGAGCUAAGAAGAAAAAGAAGAAGAAGAAGAAGAAGAAGGCCCCUGCCGAGAAACUGAACGCUGCUUAAAUCAACUGCUUCAUGCCGAAGGGGAGUACCACUUAAACUGAAUCCUCUGAGAUGGUUCUUUUUCUCUGGAAGGGUGUCAGCUCUCUGUGCCUGGCCAUCCCUGAGGACGCUUGAUGUCAUCUUGUCUACCUGAUCAUUACACUACCUGCUCUCCUCUACAAUGCUGCCCUCUCGCUGCUCCGCCACUUGAAAUGCUUGGCUGGCCUCUUCUCUGAAACCAUCAUGAAAUUGUGUGCUAAAACGCUGCAGACUGUUCCUCCUCUCUCUCGUCCCUCCAGCCAUGUGUGCAGGAGCCAGAAAAAGAUUCCGCCACUCGGACGACUGCUGCUCAGUCAACGGGAAAACAGACAAAACCUCCUCCAGCCUUCUGCCACUGCUCACCUCUCACAGCUUUUUAUUUGAUUUACUGAUGCUUGUAGUGUAGGACAUUUUAUACACUGCAGCAUUAUCCAAAUAUAUCAAAUGGACUCAUACCCAGUUGUUUAAAAAAAACUGUUCAAAUCAUGGAUCUUUCUCUCUCAAAAUACACUGUGUAAAACACAAUCAUUUCUCCCUGCAGCUUAUUAGAUAAUGCAACUUGUUUAAAGAGAUUAUUUGAUAUUCAUGCAUCACAAGGGACGCAUUGAUGUUUACUAUUUGCUGUUAAUACAGACUUUAAAGUAUAACCAUAUUUGAUAUUUCAUAAUUUGCAAAAAGAAAAACAUCCAGAUACUGAUUCUGUGUAGAAGCAGAUCAAGUCCUUUUGCUUUGUGGCCCUAAUAGAGUACACCAGGCCUUUUUCACAGAGGACACUUUGAUGUGUAACAGUAGGGAGUGGUAUUGUGCAGUGCAUGCUGGGUCACUGUCAAGGCCAGCGUUAAUGUUGUUAGUAACAGCUGUGCUUUUGCUAUGAUGACAAGUCAAAAAGUCUGCCUUGAAAUAUGCAGCGUGGAGUGCAGUGUGCUCACCCUGCUUGAAAGCAGAAGCCACUGCUCAAGCGAAGCCUCACGAACACUGAUAAUGUGACCUGCUGCGUUGCAGAGAUCGUCCGUUUACGCUCAUACCAAACAAAAUAUCACACUCAUCAUUAGCGUCUGUAAAAGCACUGAACUCUAACAGACAGCCUGCAAGUGGCGUGCUCAAGGUCCAUCUCAUAACAUGCAGUUCAGACCACUGUAUGAGUAGCUGCAUGUGAUUCAGAUAUGAGAGGAGCUACUAACAGAUGCAGGAAUGAUGUAGUGUGUAUAUUAAAGGAUAGGCUCACAAGUUUUCGUGUCUUCUGUCCUAAAACAGUCGUCAGGUGCUCACGACUGAAGCCUCAUAUAAGCUUCUGGUAAACUUUGCAUAAACAUAAUACAUAAUACAUACUAUAUAAUACAUUUUGGACUGUGAACUUUUGUCCCACAUCACUUACUGUACUUUGAAAGUGCAUUAGAUAAGGCUGUUUCAGUGGCCAGGCUGAAUGUGAGGAAUGAUUACAGCAAGCUUCUUUCAGUGUUCAUACGGGCACCUGACUAUUGUUUGAUAAGAAAACAAAUUGGGAACUUCAAUUUAACGCUAGUACACACUAACGUGUUUGGUGAAACAUUAAUAAACCCAGAUUCAUCAUGCAGCCAAACUAUUUUUAGCACUUUUAUUCAUGAAUGGAUGUUAGGAGUGUCUCAGUAUCUCGGCAGUAAUUUAGUUCACAUCCAAACGGUGGAGAGGCGACACUCGUGCCUCUGAGCCGUGCACUGUGCGUUACCACAGUCCUCUGCUGCUGGACAUCAAGCAGCAGAGAGGUGAUAGGAAAUGUUGAGGAAGAGGACUCCUCUCAGCCUCCUUUCUCAGGUGUUCCCAGCUCACCCUGGGAUUGAACCACUCAUAGAUGCGCCUCUCUUACCUGUAGCUGGCCCAGUUCCAUUGCAUGCUUCAAAAAUAUUAAAGUCCUAAAAAUAACUGUGCUUUCACAAUAAUAUCCCUUUUGUAUUCACUAAAACUGUUUCACUUCCACCCUUGUGUACUUUGUGUAUUCAGUUUAAAAACAAAAAUGUAUCUGGUUCCAUUGCUCUCUACUUCACUGACCACUGUUCUUCAUUUCCGAAAAACUUACACUACACGUGUCUGUAUGUUUCCCACGUGGUGACAUUCUCUGGAUUCUCUCUCCUGUAUAUAAUGUUGUUCAUGUCAGAUUGAUGUCAGAUGUUUUCUAAUUUGAAAUAUGAAACUUGAGCAUGAGUUGUUUGUUUCCAACACGUGUGCACCUCAGGUGAUUCAGAUGAAUAAAAGAGUGCGGUGUCACGAUGAACCAGUAUAGCUGCUGCUAGGUGGAGGGAACUGGACACAACAUACAUGUAUAGUAUGUAACUAAAUAUAGAGGAUUGAAGUGUGCAGUAUUUCCCCAUUAAAUGCAGUAGAAUAAAAGUCUCACAAAAUUAGCAAAUAUAGCACGUGUAAAUUACAUACAAUAUGUUUAUGUUAUUAUAUUAAUAUAUCCAUUGUGGUAAUUAUGUUUUAUAAUGUUAGUUCUUUUUUUCCUGAUUAACACAAUUAUAAGACAAUUAUAAAAUUACUACUAUGGUGGCAUGUAUUUUAUUGAACAAUUCUAGUCACUUUUAUUUAUAGACUACAUUUUAAAACAACCAACUGUGACCAGGCUACUGUACAGAGAGCUUACAAAUACAUACAAUACAAAAAGUGUGGCACACAGAAACACAUGAUAUAAAAUAGACUAUAAAAACUGUGUAUUUAUAUUUACAUUUGUGAGUGUCACUAUUAAGCUGAAGUAAAAAUGUUGAGUACCAGAAUGGAUGUAAAAACAUGCCGAUAGCAGGGGAAGACCUGUUCCACCCUGCUCCACCAAUCCCAGGGAUUUUAACUGGGGCCACGGAGAGGUGCGACUGGACAGAGGAGCCCAGGGGCCUGGAGGUUGAGUGGGGGGACUGAGGAUGUCACGAACAUAAACUGGUGUCAAACCACGCAAAUUUUAAAAACUCACUGAAAGAUAAGAGAUAUGGCCUCUGUUCUCGGUGCUUGUGAGGAGCCUCGCUGCUGCAUCCUGCACUAACUGUGGCUGAAACAAAGUGACUCCCACAUAGACUGAGCUAUAAUAGUCAAGACAUGAAGACAUUAAAGCAGGUUGUUAGUCACUGCAUAUCAUUCCUAGACAUAAAUUGCAUAUUAUUUGGAAUGGUAAAAAAAUAAAUAAAUAAAUAAAAAAUGA
Long non-coding RNA from Seriola aureovittata, 3866 nucleotides. RefSeq lists it as uncharacterized. The transcript is spliced from 3 exons. The record is from RefSeq and is a predicted model, not a curated record. NCBI's taxonomy places the organism in Eukaryota, Metazoa, Chordata, Actinopteri, Carangiformes, Carangidae.